Molecule: long non-coding RNA, 2183 nt
Organism: Piliocolobus tephrosceles (Ugandan red Colobus)
Lineage: Eukaryota; Metazoa; Chordata; Mammalia; Primates; Cercopithecidae
Source: Ensembl
UAAUAUAAAUAACAUGAGCAGUGAAAAUUUAUCUUCGAACUUAAUAAAUAAUUUAUCCGCAUAUAACAAAACCAGUAACAUAAAUGUUAUAAGUUCAUCAACAUUAAAUCAUAUACAAGAGUUUAAUGUUUCCUCACCCACAUAUAUUGAUAAUAUAAAUAGAAGCCCAUCGAGUAGUAAUUUAUGCUAUAAUAGUGCUUAUAAUUUAACAAAAGAAAACCUUAACCUUAUCGAAAAUAAAAAUAUAAACACUAUUACUACUGUUACUGGUGCUUUAACUAAUACAUCUUCCAAUUAUAUGAAUAACAUAGUUAAAAAGGGUAGAGGUUUGUUUAAUAAAAUAAACUCAUCUCAAAGUAAAAGCUUAUAUACCUCUAAAAAACUAUAUAAUAGUAAGGACACACAUGUAAAUAAAGGCCUACAUAAAGAUAAAAAUAUAUAUAAAAGGAAAGGUAAAUAUAGGAGUCAAUUCCCAUAUAAACGCGACAUUAUUACUGCCAAAAACUAUAACAAUAAUAAUAAUAAUAAUAGUGACUCCUAUAAUAAUAAUAAUAGUAGAGAUAUUAGUACUUAUAAUAAAAGCAUAAAUAACAAAAGUAUAAGUAACAAAAGUAUAAGUAACAAAAGUAUAAAUAACAGAAAGAAGAAUAACGAUAAUUAUGGAAACAAUAAUUAUAGCUGUGGCAAUAAUAAUGAAAAUUAUAAAAACAAAAAAAAUAAUAAUUAUAAAAUAAAUCAUAAUCUUAUUGCAAAUCCUCCAAUACGCGCAAAACAUAGAAAACCUUAUACAUUUAUACAGCAUCACAAUAGUAAUAAAAAUAAUAACAACAUAUUGAACACUAACAAACAUAUACAAAAGUAUGUGUUAAAACGUAAAAAUAACAAACAUAUUUCAAAUAAUUUUGUUAACUCUGUUAAUAUAAAUAAUAGUAACAAUAAUUAUAAUGAUAAAAUAAACGAGUGUGUCAAAACAAAUAACCACAUAAACAACUACAACAAUAGGUAUAUUCAUAAAAGCUAUACUACUUACAGAAUAAAGAAUAAUAAAACCAGAUUUUAUAAUAAACGUCCUAAACAAUCAGAUAACAUGUUUUAUGAAUAUAUAAACACAAAUAUAAAAGAUAAAUUUAGAUACCAAUAUAAGGCUGCUGGUAUAGUUAUUAUAAAAUCAAAUAUAGAGGAUAAUAAAGAAAAUGUUAAUAAAGAUAUAAAUUUAAAAAAUAUGAACGUACAAUUAUUAAUUGGUAAUGAUAAAAUAAAAAAUAAUGACAACAAAAUUCUUAAAGGGGAUAAUGUAAUUCAUGGUAUGAAUAAUUUAAAUAUAUUAGGAGGGAAAAAAAAACAAGACGAAAACAAUCCUGUAGAUACUGCUUAUAGGGAGGUUAGUGAAGAAAGUUUAUUUAUCUACAAUUGUUUUUUAUCAUAUUUUAAUCAUUUAUACUAUGUUAUGACAGAUAUACAAUUUUAUAACGGAAAACGUGACAUUGCUACUGCACAUGUGGGUAUAUUUAGUGAACAAUUUGUAAAAGCAACUGAGACUGAAAAAAGUUUGACGCUAAAUAUCGAAAAAACGGAGGGUAAAGAUGCGGAGGGUAAAGAUGCGGAGGGUAAAGAUGCGGAGGAUAAAGAUGCGGAGGGUAAAGAUGCGGAGGAUAAAGAUGCGGAGGGUAAAACCGUAAAAAUUAGUAAAGAUAGAAUUACGAAAUGUGAGCCUACCCAAUCAGAUACACCUGAAGACGUACAAGAAAUAUUUGAAAACAUGCUAAGAAUACAAUUCUUAAAAAAUAUAACAGAAUUAAAUAAUUCAGAGAAACAGAAACUGAUAGAAUCACAUGUUAAUAACUUUUUGUUAUAUUUUAAAGAACAAUGUGAAGAUUAUUACUAUAACCGUAAAAUUAUGUUAAGCUGUUCUUAUCCCCCUAGCUACUGUAACAAAAAAUGUGAUGUUUUAGAACAAAUACAUGAUCAAAUAAAUAUGUUUAAAAAAAUUGAAGAAGAAAAAGAAAAAAAUUUUAAAUUAUAUUUUAUAGAAGGUAAAUAUUAUGUAUUUUUUUAUAAUUGCCUUCAAUAUGAUUGUCAUAACAUUUUAGAAUAUUUGAAUAACUAUUUUUGGAAUAAUAUAAAUUUUUUUUUUGAUUACAUAUACGAUAAAAACAGAAUUUAUUUAGAAAAUAAGUCAAACA